This 372-nucleotide transfer-messenger RNA is filed under the name Lentimicrobiaceae. RNAcentral's name for it is "Lentimicrobium sp016788045 Standard tmRNA". It matches the Rfam family "transfer-messenger RNA". From Rfam's summary of the family: Bacterial tmRNA, also known as 10Sa RNA or SsrA, is named for its dual tRNA and mRNA-like properties. Its role is to liberate the mRNA from a stalled ribosome. Lineage: Bacteria; Pseudomonadati; Bacteroidota; Bacteroidia; Bacteroidales. RNAcentral also lists the same sequence under 1 other name. The record is from RNAcentral.
GGGGCUGACCGGUUUUGACAGCAAGGAAGUGGUAUCGUAAGCAGGCCGGGCGUUGUAAGCUAAGCCCGUAAAACUCAACUUGCAAAGCCAACAAAUGGCAACGAUUACAACUACGCGUUAGCCGCUUAAUCAAGGAUUAAGCCGCUUUCUGCCCACCGGGAAGCUUUGCGUGGCCGCGUUCCGGCAAGGGCAUCACAAAUGCCGCGAUAAGACGGGUAACAUCCUGAUGCCCGUACGAAAACCAAAAGGAAUAAGGAUCAGGUUGGGCGGUUUUCUCCCUGCCGGUUCCCGACAAUCAACAGAAAACUAAGCUUGUAGAAAGCGCUAUUGCUGCUUGUUUGGACGCGGGUUCGACUCCCGCCAGCUCCACAA